This 1376-nucleotide long non-coding RNA is filed under the name Cairina moschata (Muscovy duck). RNAcentral's name for it is "domestica (muscovy Duck (domestic type)) lncRNA (ENSCMMG00000006468.1)". The record is from RNAcentral. Lineage: Eukaryota; Metazoa; Chordata; Aves; Anseriformes; Anatidae.
ACUACGAGCUAUUAAAAGGUCUUUUAGUGCAAAACUUAUCAUGUUGGAGCUUCUUUGUACAUAUAUAGAGAGGAUGCAACUCAGCUGGGGAGAGAGUCCUCUGAGAGGAUUACUAGUUUGUACAAGACAGCUAUGAUAGCAGUGAGAGACAGUAAUGUCCUCAAAAGAUUCCUGAUGUUAAGUACUUAGGGCAUCCUGCCUCUUUGCUGUGUCCUGGGAAAAAUAAAAUCCAGGGUCCAAGCACAGCUCCAGCUGAUCAUAUGACAAGGCAAUAUAACAUGUAGACCAGGUGUUGAGUUUGCUGGCUAGAUGCUAUAUCUCCUGAGCUGUGAAGAUGGAAUUGGACCAAAUUUGUAUGCCCAGCAGCAUUUAGUGAGGUGACAUCAGGCUUCUGAGAUCUCAGCACAGCAGAGCUGACCGGUGAAUCAGGAAAGAGCUGCAGUACAGAAAGGCACCUGUACAACUGCUGAUCUGUAAUGAACAAAAGACAGAUCCAUACAAACGUAACUACUGUACAUCUGAGGCUAAAUUAAUGUCAGAACAUGUUAGUCACAUUGCUGUUGCAUCAUUGUAAUAAAUUACAUAUUGCAGAUCCUUUUGCCUCAAUUGUUUUGCAUUAGUAUAAGCUGCCUGUUUUUACAGGCUCUGGAAUAUGUUUCCUAGAGAAGCACGUUGUCAGAGGAAUGUGGUGGAGUUACAGACUUUCCCCAGAAUCACCUAGUAGCAGUCUCCACACUGUCCUCAAAGCAGAGAACUCUUGCAAGUUUCAUGUCAGAGACUUCUUUAAUAAUCAAAGAGAGUGAGGUCUAUACAGAGAGGUUCAGCUGCUCUGUGCCACCUGGCUGUGCCAUGCCUCUCCUUUCUGCCCUGCUACAGCUGGAGAGAGAGACCCUGCAGCUGCAGUGUGACUGUGCCUUGCUGUGCUGGGACAGUCUUUACCAGCAGAAUCUUCUUCCAAGCCUUCCAAGUUUCUCUGACUACAAGCAACCUUUGGGGAGAGAGUUACUAUCCACAGCAGAGGAAGAUCAAAUUAGGAAAUACUCAAGUAAGCUGGCCAUAUACAAAUCCAUAGAAUCUUAAAAACAUGGAGUCAUUAAAAACACAGAGUCAUUAAAGCUGGAAAAGACCUCUGAGGUCAUCUAGUCCAACCAUCACCCUACUGCCAAUAUUGUCCACUAAACCACAUCCCUAAGUACUACAUCUAUCCUUUCGUUAAACACCUCUAGGGAUGGUGACUUCACCACUUCCCUUGGCAAUGUGUUCCAUGAACCCUUGAACCCAUGGAACAAGCAGCAACAUUUGAAUGCAAACAACAAUCAUGAAGUUCUGCACUUGGCACAGAACCCCCCUAUGCAUUGGUACCACCUGGGUAUUGG